CCGACGGUGAGGGACGAAACCCUGGGGCGCAAACCGGAUUAGAUACCCGGGUAGUCCAGGGCGUAAACGCUGCAGGCUUGGUGUUGGGGGCCCUACGUGGGCGCUCAGUGCCGGAGUGAAGAUGUUAAGCCUGCCGCUUGGGGAGUAUGUCCGCAAGGAUGAAACUUAAAGGAAUUGGCGGGAGAGCACAGCAACGGGAGGAGCGUGCGGUUCAAUUGGAUUCAACGCCGUAAAACUCACCGGGAGC
RNAcentral lists this ribosomal RNA (247 nucleotides) under uncultured archaeon. RNAcentral's name for it is "partial 16S ribosomal RNA". It matches the Rfam family "Archaeal small subunit ribosomal RNA", at positions 691 to 937 of the family's 1478-position model. The record is from RNAcentral.